This 253-nucleotide ribosomal RNA is filed under the name uncultured bacterium. Its description in RNAcentral is "partial 16S ribosomal RNA". It matches the Rfam family "Bacterial small subunit ribosomal RNA", at positions 524 to 776 of the family's 1533-position model. The record is from RNAcentral.
GACGUAGGGCGCGAGCGUUGUCCGGAUUUAUUGGGCGUAAAGAGCGUGUAGGCGGUCCGGUAAGUCCGCUGUGAAAGUCGGGGGCUCAACCCUCGAAUGCCGGUGGAUACUGUCGGGCUAGAGUGCGGAAGAGGCGAGUGGAAUUCCUGGUGUAGCGGUGAAAUGCGCAGAUAUCAGGAGGAACACCGGUGGCGAAGGCGGGUCUCUGGGCCGAUAUUGACGCUGAGGAGCGAAAGCGUGGGGAGCAAACAGG